AAACUGUGCAAUGCGCGAAAGCGCGACACGGGAAGCCUGAGUGCCUUAACUAUGUUAAGGCUUUUCUUGAGCCUAAAAAGCUCAAGGAAUAAGAACUGGGUAAGACGGGUGCCAGCCGCCGCGGUAACACCCGCGGUUCGAGUGGUAGUCACUUUUAUUGAGCCUAAAGCGUUUGUAGCCGGAUUUGUAAAUCUCCAGGAAAAGACUUCAGCUCAACUGAAGAAAUUUUGGAGAGACUGCAAAUCUAGGGACCGGGUGAGGUUGAAUGUACUUCUGGGGUAGGGGUAAAAUCCUGUAAUCCUGGAAGGACGACNGGUGGCGAAGGCGUUCAACUAGAACGGAUCCGACGGUGAGGAACGAAGGCUAGGGGAGCAAACCGGAUUAGAUACCCGGGUAGUCCUAGCUGUAAACACUGCCCACUUGGUGUUGCAUCUCCGGUAAGGGGGUGCAGUGCCGUAGCGAAGGUGUUAAGUGGGCCGCUUGGGGAGUAUGGUCGCAAGGCUGAAACUUAAAGGAAUUGGCGGGAGAGCACCGCAACGGGAGGAGCGUGCGGUUUAAUUGGAUUCAACGCCGGAAAACUCACCGGAGGCGACCUAUGUAUGAGAGUCAACCUGAUGAGUUUACUCGAUAGUAGGAGAGGUGGUGCAUGGCCGUCGUCAGCUCGUACCGUAGGGCGUUCACUUAAGUGUGAUAACGAGCGAGACCCCCAUCUUCAAUUGCUAAUUCAAUCGUGAGGUUGGAAGAACUUUGAAGGGACCGCCAGC
This 764-nucleotide ribosomal RNA is filed under the name uncultured archaeon. RNAcentral describes it as "bacterial SSU rRNA". It matches the Rfam family "Archaeal small subunit ribosomal RNA", at positions 345 to 1112 of the family's 1478-position model. The record is from RNAcentral.